GGUACUUGCUUCUGGGUGUUGGAGAAGAGAGGAGCUCAUUCAGCCCAGGCUGGAGUGGCAUGCUCUUCUUGGUUCCUCCGGAAGACACAGGCUUCUGAACCAAUUGCAGCCUUCUAAUUUGCCUAGCACUGCCCAGUGGUGGGGAGGAAGCACUUGUGGCCUUGAGGGUGUGAACUAGUAAGUGACUUGUGAGCUCUCUUACCUAGUGACUUACCAAGUGCUAAGUAGGGG
This 231-nucleotide long non-coding RNA is filed under the name Monodelphis domestica (gray short-tailed opossum). Its description in RNAcentral is "lncRNA (ENSMODG00000030894.2)". The record is from RNAcentral. Lineage: Eukaryota; Metazoa; Chordata; Mammalia; Didelphimorphia; Didelphidae.